CCUACGGGGGGCAGCAGUAAGGAAUAUUGGUCAAUGGACGCAAGUCUGAACCAGCCAUGCCGCGUGAAGGAUGAAGGUCCUCUGGAUUGUAAACUUCUUUUAUCUGGGACGAAACCUCUUUUUCUAAAGAGACUGACGGUACCAGAGGAAUAAGCACCGGCUAACUCCGUGCCAGCAGCCGCGGUAAUACGGAGGGUGCAAGCGUUAUCCGGAUUCACUGGGUUUAAAGGGAGCGUAGGAGGGCAGGUAAGUCAGUGGUGAAAUCCCCGUGCUUA
RNAcentral lists this ribosomal RNA (275 nucleotides) under uncultured bacterium. Its description in RNAcentral is "partial 16S ribosomal RNA". It matches the Rfam family "Bacterial small subunit ribosomal RNA", at positions 338 to 611 of the family's 1533-position model. The record is from RNAcentral.